RNAcentral lists this ribosomal RNA (1010 nucleotides) under Triticum aestivum (bread wheat). RNAcentral describes it as "partial small subunit ribosomal RNA". Lineage: Eukaryota; Viridiplantae; Streptophyta; Magnoliopsida; Poales; Poaceae. The record is from RNAcentral.
GGGAAGGAGCGGGGGCGGGGGCGGGGGUUUGUGGGUAGCGGUACGCCGGUGGCUCUCCGCCGCCUCCAAAGGCGCCUGCGCCGCCGCUGGCUCCACCGGCGAAGCCACCUCCGCCGGCGCCGCCGCCGCCAUCCCCGGCGAAGCCACCUCCGCCGCCGCCCAAGGCGCUGCUCCCGGGAGGUCGGCUCCAGCAGCUCCACAGCUGCAAGGACGUGCGGACGCUCCCCCUGCGCCAUUGCUUCGACUGCUUGCUCUUUCACGGGAUGAAGUUGCGCGGGUAUAUGGAGGUCUUGUUCUGGGUCUAGCCGUUUCAGCUGCUCUAGAAGCCGGGGUAGUUGCUUAGUAUAAAGAGCCAGUUCUACAAGCUCCCUCAGUAACGUUGUAGAAUGUUGCUUCCACUGUUCAAGAAGUAACUGGGGUACUUCGACGACGGGGAGAGUGCGAAGGACGGCGUCGGUUUCCCGAGCUGAGGUUCUCCACCACCAGCGCCACCUUCUCCACCACCAGCGCCACCUAAACCACCGGCACCACCUAAGGCACCUUCUCCACGUGGUUCCCCAGCACCUGGAGGGUCCCCACCUCCCGCACCAAAGUCUCCUGCUCCGUCUAAGAUCCUACAUCAAAAAUCAAACGACAAACAACUUUGUACUACGAGAUGUAAUAGACAAGUCGACCUUUGUAAUACGAUUCAGUCGACGCUCGCGUGAAACACACCUUCAACUAAGUUUCACGUGAGGGUCCCCACCUCCCGCACCAAAGUCUCCUGCUCCGUCUAAGAUUCUACAUCAAAAUUCAAACGACAAACAACUUUGUACUACGAGAUGUAAUAGACAAGUCGACCUUUGUAAUACGAUUCAGUCGACGCUCGCGUGAGACACACCUUCAACUAAGUUAUAAACAUACUUACUUUACAACAGUUCACAACUCAAUUACAACCACAUAGUAUUAAUGAACAUUUCCACGAAUAUAUCACUAUUGUAAGAGCUAUAACCAUAUAAUAGGCUAAUCAU